UGGGGUAGCAGAGCUUUUGUCUCCAUCUCCACCAUGGCCCACACUCCUGUCCUCCUCCUGCACCUCCUCUUCAUGCUCUGCAUAGAUUUCGUGAGUUCUGUGCCGAAUCAGCCACCAUCAGCAUCUGUGGCCCUGGGACAAACAGCCACAGUCACCUGCUCCGGUGUUAGUGCUAGCUAUGUGCACUGGUACCAGCAGAAAGCCGGCCAGGUCCCCGUGCUGGUUAUAUACGAUAAUAACAAGCGACCCUCCGGGAUCCCCGACCGGUUCUCCGGCUCUAAAUCUGGGAGCACGGCCACGCUGACCAUCUCGAGGGCCCAGGCCGAGGACGAGGCCGAUUAUUACUGUCAGGACUAUGUAAGCAGUAGUAAUCCUCACAGUGAUAGAGGAUGA
Ornithorhynchus anatinus (platypus) is the source of this 393-nucleotide non-coding RNA. NCBI's taxonomy places the organism in Eukaryota, Metazoa, Chordata, Mammalia, Monotremata, Ornithorhynchidae. The record is from the annotation of a RefSeq genome assembly.